GACGAACCGAGCGAACGUUGUUCGGAAUCACUGGGCGUAAAGCGCGUGUAGGCGGCUCUGCAAGUCGGAUGUGAAAGCCCUCGGCUCAACCGGGGAAGUGCAUUCGAAACUGCAGGGCUGGAGUCCUGGAGAGGAAGGCGGAAUUCUCGGUGUAGAGGUGAAAUUCGUAGAUAUCGAGAGGAACACCGGUGGCGAAGGCGGCCUUCUGGACAGUGACUGACGCUGAGACGCGAAAGCGUGGGGAGCAAACAGG
Molecule: ribosomal RNA, 253 nt
Filed under: uncultured bacterium
Lineage: Bacteria
Description: partial 16S ribosomal RNA
Rfam family: Bacterial small subunit ribosomal RNA
Source: RNAcentral